AAGAAAGUCGUAGGCAUUCCCCAUUCUUAUUCGGCCACGGCCUCCCCGGAUGCCUGCGAGCAGAUCGAGCAGGGGGUCGGCGAGCAGGGCGUGCGGCGCGCAGCGGGAGUGUGCGGCUUGUCGGGUUGGCGAGCCGAGCAGGGGAGCGCGGGGCGGGCGGCUUGGAGAGCGGGCCUCGUCGUGGACGGUGGCGGCGGCGCGAACAGCAGGCUUCCUCGCGACGGCCCGGGCGGAGACUGCGGGCGCGCGGCGGGUGGUGUCCGCGCCGGCGCUGGCGCUGCGGGGCAGAGGAGGCCCGCCGCUGCCCCCACGCGCGUCUCCGUCCACGACGCUCGCCGGCUCCUCCGCAUCUGCUCGCUGCGCCAUUUCCGCAUCUUCUCGCCGCGCCAUCUCUGCAUCUAUUCGCCGCCGUUGGUCGCAUCGAGGCAGGCUCCCUCUUCCAGUACAUAGGCGGGGAUGGGGCGGAGGCGGCGGGGUGGAAGCGGUGGGGCGGAUGUGGCGGGGUGGAGGCCUCCUUGAUUCCACCCUCCCCCUUGGCCGGCCUCCUCGAGCUCCGCCAGGCAUGCACGUCCCACGGCAUUGCUGGAGAUCUGCGCCUCCCUCCUUCGCAAAUUUUUUAGGUAUGCAAUUUAACAGUGCACAUUACACUUCACGUUUAUGCACCGUAUGUUUAAGUACUUUUGUAUCGGAAUAUAUUUUUUGCAAGGAGUUGUUUAUUUGGAAUUGUACAUUUAUUUGAGAUAGUGACUUUUGAAACAUCAAAUUCAUAUCCGUACAUUAUAUUUCCUUAAUUGAUUAGAAGAUCUCCUUGUACACAAUGUUUUUGGCUUUACUCUGUCCGUGGCAUUCAGAGUCAUCGAUGAGCACCUUCAGUCCUUUCCUUUUUGUGACCCUCGAUAAUGCCAAAUAUAACUGCCAUGGCAGAAAACCUGUUUGGACAAAUAUAAUCCGACUGUUUUUAUAGAUUGGCCCUGGCUUUUAUUGAUUGUCAUUGCGAAGCACACCGUUAGGGGAUACUGUCUUCUUUUCAGCACAAACGGCCACUUAGAUUCACUUAGCGACAUGUUGAUUUGAGGAGCAUCACCGGAAGGCCGACUUUCAGUCUAAGCUCAUGGUUUGGGAUUCCAGGGAACUUCAAGCUGUUGAGGAAUUCCGUUGGGUACAUAUGCUCUAUGCUUUUGCUUGUAGAUGCUUUGCACACACUGUCUGAGCUAAGGUAUGUUACUUCUUCACCUUCUAUUUGGCUCAUUAUGUACUCAUUUAUCUCCUCUACUGUUUUGUUACUUGGGCAUAGUAUAGUUCUUUCCUCGAGGAAUUUUGGGUCUCGGUAGUUCCGUAGUUGUUGAACAGGUCUGGAUACGUGCACUUUAUGAUUGUUUCUUUGGGUUCAUCUCCCGUGUCUAGCAUCAGAUCACUUGGGAUUUGGAUCCACUCGUCUCCUUCGUCUGAUGUUUUGAUCCCAUCACCUAUAUUCAGUAUCCACUCAGUGAAUUCCUUGUUCUCCUGUUGUUGUUUUGUAUCGUUAGAUAUAUAGCUGAGCCUCAUGUUCUCUGUGAGCUUGUAAAUUUCAAAGUGGUUCCAGAGAUAUAAUCGUUUGAUAGAUGCGUUCACUAUGUGUUCUCUCCUCCCUUUUGGAACGAUUGGAAGGAUUUGUCGGAAGUCUCCUCCUAGCACAACGGUCAUCCCACCAAAUGGUUUUUAAUCGCUGUUGUCAUUGUUAAAUAUGAGUAUUUCCCUGAGGCUUUUGUCUAGAGUCUCGAAGCAUUUUCUGUUAGCCAUUGGAGCUUCGUCCCACAAAAUUAGAGAGGUCUUUUUCAACAGCUCUGCGAGAUGAGUUCCUUGCUUGAUUUCGCAUGUUGAUUCAUCUGUUAUGUUAAUUGGAAUUCUGAAUCUGGAGUGUGUUGUUCUGCCACCUUGGAUUAGAAGAGCAGCUAUACCACUUGAUGCGACGGCCAGUACUAUCUUCCCUUCGGAUCGUAAUUUUGUUGCGAUAGCUUUCCAUAGGUAUGUUUUGCCUGUACCACCAUAGCCAUCGACGAAUAUUUGUUUUCCUAUUCCUUUGUCAACUGACUCUAUUAUUGCGUCAUAUGCUUUUUUUUGCUCUGGGUUUAGAUUGUUCACAAUUGUCAAGUGUUCGCUCCUCAGGUUGUCACUGUCGUAGUUUAGCUCUUCGUUUAUCAAUCUGUUUCCAAGUAGUUCUAUAUUAUCUGUGCUUGGUAAUUGUAUUUCUGGAUAUUCCCUUAGUGACCUUCCUGAUUGUCUCAUCAGUUUCUCUAUUUCCAUCAAAGUGUAUGUUUUCUUCUGAGAAGCAGUCAGCUGCAAUGUUGGAUAUUUUAGUAUUUUUUUUGUUUGUACUGGAUAUCUUCUGAGAGUGAUUCCCAGGCUGACUCCCACAACAAUUUUGGUUCUGCUACUUCGCAGUGUGUAAGUAUAGUAGUGAAGAGCUGCCGUAGUUGUGUUGCUGUUGCCCAAGCUGAUGCCUCGUUUAUGCACUCAAUCCAUUCAUUCAUUGAUCUUUCUUUGCUUCUUUUGAGGUCAAGUUGUUCCUUCCUUCUCUUCCUAUUCUUUGAUGCUUGUUCUUUUAGCUGGUUUUCCAUUGGUCCUGCAAUUGAUUCUUGAAAAUAAAUUAGUGUACAAAUUUGAUUGUAUAUGUUAUUCUCAUGAUAUCAUUAUCUUCGUGCAAUGUUUUUUUGAGGCAUGAAGAUUAAAAAGAACUAGACUUAAUUCUCAUUAUAUCCUUAUCUUCGUGUGAUGUUUUUUUUCAGGCAUGAAGAUUUUAAAAAGAAGUGGACAUGUAUCAGUUUACUUUGAUAGCUGGUAUUUAUGUCGAUGAAUAAUGUAGCAAAUGAUAUUUUGAGAUUGAUGCGUGAUAUUCCUAUUAUAAUCUGAAACAAAUAAUUUUUGUGACGGUGUUAGCUGCAAAGAAUUGUAAUUGCUAAUGCAGAUUACUUAUAAAUGGAGUUGAUCAAUGUAAGAAAUAAGAUAUAAGAAAGUAUAAUAGUUACCUAUAUUUUCCUUU
This is a long non-coding RNA of Panicum virgatum (switchgrass), 3019 nucleotides long. RefSeq lists it as uncharacterized. NCBI's taxonomy places the organism in Eukaryota, Viridiplantae, Streptophyta, Magnoliopsida, Poales, Poaceae. The record is from RefSeq and is a predicted model, not a curated record. The transcript is spliced from 2 exons.